RNAcentral lists this ribosomal RNA (346 nucleotides) under Vibrio parahaemolyticus. RNAcentral describes it as "partial 23S ribosomal RNA". It matches the Rfam family "Bacterial large subunit ribosomal RNA", at positions 569 to 917 of the family's 2925-position model. Lineage: Bacteria; Pseudomonadati; Pseudomonadota; Gammaproteobacteria; Vibrionales; Vibrionaceae. The record is from RNAcentral.
AGCAGUAGGAGCAGGCUUUGUCCUGUGACUGCGUACCUUUUGUAUAAUGGGUCAGCGACUUAUAUUCAGUGGCAAGGUUAACCAUCUAGGGGAGCCGUAGGGAAACCGAGUCUUAACUGGGCGUUCAGUCUCUGGAUAUAGACCCGAAACCAGGUGAUCUAGCCAUGGGCAGGUUGAAGGUUGAGUAACAUCAACUGGAGGACCGAACCGACUAAUGUUGAAAAAUUAGCGGAUGACUUGUGGCUAGGGGUGAAAGGCCAAUCAAACCUGGAGAUAGCUGGUUCUCCCCGAAAGCUAUUUAGGUAGCGCCUCGGACGAAUACUACUGGGGGUAGAGCACUGUUAAG